GAUGAACGCUGGCGGCGUGCUUAACACAUGCAAGUCGAACGAUGAAGCCCAGCUUGCUGGGUGGAUUAGUGGCGAACGGGUGAGUAACACGUGAGUAACCUGCCCUUGACUCUGGGAUAAGCCUGGGAAACUGGGUCUAAUACUGGAUAUGACUUCUCAUCGCAUGGUGGGGGGUGGAAAGAUUUAUUGGUCUUGGAUGGACUCGCGGCCUAUCAGCUUGUUGGUGAGGUAAUGGCUCACCAAGGCGACGACGGGUAGCCGGCCUGCGAGGGUGACCGGCCACACUGGGACUAAGACACGGCCCAGACUCCUACGGGAGGCAGCAGUGGGGAAUAUUGCACAAUGGGCGCAAGCCUGAUGCAGCGACGCCGCGUGAGGGAUGACGGCCUUCGGGUUGUAAACCUCUUUCAGAAGGAAAGAAGCGAGAGUGACGGUACCUGCAGAAGAAGCGCCGGCUAACUACGUG
This 466-nucleotide ribosomal RNA is filed under the name uncultured bacterium. RNAcentral's name for it is "partial 16S ribosomal RNA". It matches the Rfam family "Bacterial small subunit ribosomal RNA", at positions 28 to 507 of the family's 1533-position model. The record is from RNAcentral.